GCCACGGGGGUUUAGCGGUUAGAACGCUGGCCUUGUAAUCCUGGGGUCUCGGGUUCGAUUCCCGGUGGCG
Molecule: non-coding RNA, 70 nt
Organism: Zootermopsis nevadensis
Lineage: Eukaryota; Metazoa; Arthropoda; Insecta; Blattodea; Termopsidae
Source: Rfam